Ictidomys tridecemlineatus (thirteen-lined ground squirrel) is the source of this 72-nucleotide non-coding RNA. The record is from Rfam. Lineage: Eukaryota; Metazoa; Chordata; Mammalia; Rodentia; Sciuridae.
AGGGUUGUGGCUCAGUGGUAGAGCACUUGCCUAGCAAGUGUGAGGCACUGGGUUCAAUUCUCUGCACCACAU